GGACCCGUAGCUCAGUGGUUAGAGCGCGCGGCUCAUAACCGCUUGGUCGCAGGUUCGAUCCCUGCCGGGUCCACAA
This 76-nucleotide transfer RNA is filed under the name Anaerolineae bacterium. RNAcentral describes it as "tRNA-Met". It matches the Rfam family "tRNA". Rfam says of the family: Transfer RNA (tRNA) molecules are approximately 80 nucleotides in length. The record is from RNAcentral. Lineage: Bacteria; Bacillati; Chloroflexota; Anaerolineae.